Bacillus sp. FJAT-26390 is the source of this 102-nucleotide regulatory RNA element. It matches the Rfam family "pan motif". NCBI's taxonomy places the organism in Bacteria, Bacillati, Bacillota, Bacilli, Caryophanales, Bacillaceae. The record is from Rfam.
CGGGCGGUAUUCUAACGGAAGCUGCACUGAUGACGAACAAAAAAUAUGUAAAUGGUUGGGAAUGCACACUCUGCUCUGAGCCGUAGGGACCGAGACAGAAGG